AAAGCUUUAAGUUAAAAAACUAUUAACCUUCAAAGUUAAAAUUACAGGAUUAUCACUUGUAAGCUUUA
RNAcentral lists this transfer RNA (68 nucleotides) under Acanthaspis ruficeps. RNAcentral's name for it is "tRNA-Trp". Lineage: Eukaryota; Metazoa; Arthropoda; Insecta; Hemiptera; Reduviidae. The record is from RNAcentral.